UCGUAACAAGGUCUCCGUUGGUGAACCAGCGGAGGGAUCAUUACCGAGUUUACAACUCCCAAACCCAAUGUGAACGUUACCAAUCUGUUGCCUCGGCGGGAUUCUCUGCCCCGGGCGCGUCGCAGCCCCGGAUCCCAUGGCGCCCGCCGGAGGACCAACUCAAACUCUUUUUUUCUCUCCGUCGCGGCCUACGUCGCGGCUCUGUUUUAUUUUUGCUCUGAGCCUUUCUCGGCGACCCUAGCGGGCGUCUCGAAAAUGAAUCAAAACUUUCAACAACGGAUCUCUUGGUUCUGGCAUCGAUGAAGAACGCAGCGAAAUGCGAUAAGUAAUGUGAAUUGCAGAAUUCAGUGAAUCAUCGAAUCUUUGAACGCACAUUGCGCCCGCCAGUAUUCUGGCGGGCAUGCCUGUCCGAGCGUCAUUUCAACCCUCGAACCCCUCCGGGGGGUCGGCGUUGGGGAUCGGCCCCUCACCGGGCCGCCCCCGAAAUACAGUGGCGGUCUCGCCGCAGCCUCUCCUGCGCAGUAGUUUGCACACUCGCACCGGGAGCGCGGCGCGGCCACAGCCGUAAAACACCCCAAACUCUGAAAUGUUGACCUCGGAUCAGGUAGGAAUACCCGCUGAACUUAAGCAUAUCAAUAA
RNAcentral lists this unclassified non-coding RNA (639 nucleotides) under Trichoderma citrinoviride. Its description in RNAcentral is "sequence contains 18S rRNA gene, ITS1, 5.8S rRNA gene, ITS2, 28S rRNA gene". The stretch from base 265 to 418 matches the Rfam family "5.8S ribosomal RNA". The record is from RNAcentral. Lineage: Eukaryota; Fungi; Ascomycota; Sordariomycetes; Hypocreales; Hypocreaceae.